Molecule: ribosomal RNA, 484 nt
Filed under: uncultured bacterium
Lineage: Bacteria
Description: partial 16S ribosomal RNA
Rfam family: Bacterial small subunit ribosomal RNA
Source: RNAcentral
AUUGAACGCUGGCGGUAGGCCUAACACAUGCAAGUCGAGCGGCUGCAGAGUGCUUGCUCCUGGUUUCAGCGGCCGACGGGCGAGUAAUGCCUAGGAAUCUGCCAAUCAGUGGUGGCUAACGUCCGGACACGGGCGCUAAUACGGCAAUAGUCCAGAGGGACAACGGGGGGGAUCUUCGGACCUCCCGCCCUCAGAUGAGCCUAGGUCGGAUUAGCUAGUUGGCGGGGUAAAGGCCUACCAAGGCGACGAUCCGUAACUGGUCUGAGAGGAUGAUCAGUCACACUGGAACUGAGACACGGUCCAGACUCCUACGGGAGGCAGCAGUGGGGAAUAUUGGACAAUGGGCGAAAGCCUGAUCCAGCCAUGCCGCGUGUGUGAAGAAGGUCUUCGGAUUGUAAAGCACUUUUAGUUGGGAAGAAGGGCAGUAAGUUAAUACCUUGCUGUUCUGACGGUACCAACAGAAUAAGCACCGGCUAACUUCGUG